RNAcentral lists this ribosomal RNA (433 nucleotides) under uncultured bacterium. Its description in RNAcentral is "partial 16S ribosomal RNA". It matches the Rfam family "Bacterial small subunit ribosomal RNA", at positions 29 to 507 of the family's 1533-position model. The record is from RNAcentral.
AACGAACGCUGGCGGUAUGCCUAACACAUGCAAGUCGAACGAGACCUUCGGGUCUAGUGGCGCACGGGUGCGUAACGCGUGGGAACCUGCCCUUAGGUUCGGAAUAACUCCCUGAAAGGGGUGCUAAUACCGGAUAAUGUCUUCGGACCAAAGAUUUGUCGCCUUUGGAUGGGCCCGCGUUGGAUUAGCUAGUUGGUAGGGUAAAAGCCUACCAAGGCGACGAUCCAUAGCUGGUCUGAGAGGAUGAUCAGCCACACUGGGACUGAGACACGGCCCAGACUCCUACGGGAGGCAGCAGUGGGGAAUAUUGGACAAUGGGCGGAAGCAUGAUCCAGCAAUGCCGCGUGAGUGAUGAAGGCCUUAGGGUUGUAAAGCUCUUUUACCCGGGAUGAUAAUGACAGUACCGGGAGAAUAAGCUCCGGCUAACUCCGUG